This 393-nucleotide long non-coding RNA is filed under the name Felis catus (domestic cat). RNAcentral describes it as "lncRNA (ENSFCAG00000042743.2)". The record is from RNAcentral. Lineage: Eukaryota; Metazoa; Chordata; Mammalia; Carnivora; Felidae.
CGGGGAGACGCUUUCUCCAACAUUUCAGUACAGGUGGCGCCUUGGAUUUUCCCCGCUACCGAGCAAGCAAGCUCCGAGAGCUGACACCGUCAUCCUUGGUAACAUCCAAAUGACACCUGAUGCGGAUGGGGCCGCGGUCAGGACAGGAAGGAGCGGGGAGCCCCUGGGCUGUGUGACACCCUCCCGAGGACGGUGACAGACCAACAGUGGCUGAAUGUGGGCCUCUGGGCCUUCCUGGCACCAUCAGACGUGGAGUGCAGCACAUAGUGGGGUCGCAGGUGGGUUGUCCUAACCAGGCUGGCCACACGGUCCAGUCUACUGUGCCGGGAGCAGGGCGCCUCUGGCUGCUGGGGAGACAGUGCAGACCCUAGAGUCAAGCUCCCCAGAAGCUGG